Molecule: long non-coding RNA, 1372 nt
Filed under: Capsella grandiflora
Lineage: Eukaryota; Viridiplantae; Streptophyta; Magnoliopsida; Brassicales; Brassicaceae
Description: long non-coding RNA (CGRA_LNC000734)
Source: RNAcentral
UGAUUCGAUCUUCUUCACCCUCUAAGACACUCCAUGUGUAGUUCCUGGUUUGUGAGGCACAAAAGGACACAAGCUUCAGAAAUUAUCCCAAAUUACACAAGAUAAAAGGACAAAUCUUGAAACUAUGAAGCAGACACAAAACAAGGGUUAGUAGUAUCAAGUAAACAAGCCUUUUAAUUCGGAUUCCUCAGACACAUUAGUCCUUUUGAAUUAGCUGUUGAAAACCUGAAAUCACAGAACAAGAAGAAAUCAAAAUAAAACCAAUAAAUCCCAACUUGGUUCAGUUCUCACCCUAACUAAGAAUGAACAUAGAGGGAAAAAAAACAGAUCAAAACUUUUUUAACAAGUACCUCGUAACAACUUGGUAUCAGGGCGUACUGAUUUACGGAAUCGAAUAACAUCACAAGUUCACACCCUUCAAAGGCACGAACUGAUACCUAAACAAUUGUCUUUCCAACUCCUUGGAGGCCAUCCAACAAUAUUGCUGUAGGACCUGAUUUAGCAAAGUGUAGCUCAAAUACUUCUCCUCCACCCAUCAAUUUCACUAGCUCAUCAUGUGGAAUCUGCAACAUAUACAUGAUAAGCCAAACUUCAAUACUAUUGAAACCAAGACGAUAGAGUAAAAAAAACAUUAUGCUAGUGAAAAGAUAUGAGGAAGGACUAAGGAGAUGAAACAGAAACAAAAAAUAACUAUUGUUGAGUACCUUUACCAACUGCUGAUAUGAUUCGAAUCCACCAUUUCCACCGGCUUAAUCACAAACAGAGUACUGAACAACCCUUUUACCAACUAGGAGACUCACCUGUUAGAAAAACCGCCAAGAGAAUCCUAGAUUGAGCUUAACAGCAAAAGAGAAAAAAAAAAAGAAGACAAAAACAGUGAAAGAAAUGGAACCUUGACCUUUGAGUUUGCUCUGCAAGCAGCUUGGAGAGUCCACUAGUCAACUGAGAAAACAUCUCGGGUCUUUACUUGGUUCCUUGUGUUAUGUAUCUUCCAUGGCCACCAGUCUUCUUUUUAACCCAACUCCUUGGAUCCUAUCUAGCAAUAUUACUGUAUGACCUGAUUUAGUAAAGUGUAGCUCAUAUACUUCUAGUCCAGCCAUCAGUUUCGAUUAGCUCAUCAAGUACAAUCUGCAACAUAGCUAUGAUAAACAACACUUGAGUACUAUUGGAACCAAAACGAUAGAGUGAAACAAUAAUAAAAACCAAAAUGAUCACAUGCUAGCAAACCGGCCAAAAGAAUCCUCGUUUGAGCAUUAGGGUAAUAAAAAACAGAGAAAAAUGGAACCUUGGCCUUUGAGUUUGCUCUUCAAGCAGCCUUGUUGAGUCCACCAGUCUAUUAAACAAACAUCUCGGCUCUUCACUUGGCUCCUUC